Molecule: non-coding RNA, 82 nt
Organism: Russula emetica
Lineage: Eukaryota; Fungi; Basidiomycota; Agaricomycetes; Russulales; Russulaceae
Source: the annotation of a GenBank genome assembly
GGCCGAUUACAGUAGCUCAGUUGGUUCGAGCGUCGUGCUAAUAACGCCGCGAAGGUCUUGGGUUCGAUUCUCACAUUGGCCA